GCGGGCAUCGUAUAAUGGCUAUUACCUCACCCUUCCAAGCUGAUGAGCAGGUUCGAUUCCUGCUGCCCGCUCCA
Molecule: transfer RNA, 74 nt
Filed under: Citrobacter sp. FDAARGOS_156
Lineage: Bacteria; Pseudomonadati; Pseudomonadota; Gammaproteobacteria; Enterobacterales; Enterobacteriaceae
Also listed under: 1 other name
Description: tRNA-Gly
Rfam family: tRNA
About the family: Transfer RNA (tRNA) molecules are approximately 80 nucleotides in length.
Source: RNAcentral